This 337-nucleotide unclassified non-coding RNA is filed under the name soil metagenome. Its description in RNAcentral is "partial contains 5.8S ribosomal RNA, internal transcribed spacer 2, and large subunit ribosomal RNA". The stretch from base 1 to 120 matches the Rfam family "5.8S ribosomal RNA", at positions 35 to 154 of the family's 154-position model. The record is from RNAcentral.
GAUGAAGAACGUAGCGAAAUGCGAUAAGUAGUGUGAAUUGCAGAAUUCAGUGAAUCAUCGAAUCUUUGAACGCACAUUGCGCCCUUUGGGAUUCCUUAGGGCAUGCCUGUUCGAGCGUCAUCUAAACCUUCAAGCCCUGCUUGGUGUUGGGUGCCUGUCCCGCCUCCGCGCGUGGACUCACCUCAAAUCCAUUGGCGGCCCCCGCGUCGGCCACGAGCGCAGCAGAAACGCGAACUCGUGAGCCCGUCCGGGCGGCUCCCAGAAGCUAACCCCCAAUUUUUGACCUCGGAUCAGGUAGGGAUACCCGCUGAACUUAAGCAUAUCAAUAAGCGGAGGA